Molecule: ribosomal RNA, 1315 nt
Filed under: metagenome
Description: SSU rRNA
Rfam family: Eukaryotic small subunit ribosomal RNA
Source: RNAcentral
GUAGUCAUAUGCUUGUCUCAAAGAUUAAGCCAUGCAUGUCUAAGUAUAAAUAGUAUACAGUGAAACUGCGAAUGGCUCAUUAAAACAGUUAUAGUCUAUUUGAUAAUUGACAAUUACAUGGAUAACCGUGGUAAUUCUAGAGCUAAUACAUGCUUAAACGCCCGACUUUAUGGAAGGGUGGUAUUUAUAAGACUGAAGCCAAUAUUCCUUGUGUCUAUUGCGGUGAUUCAUAAUAACUGAUCGAAUCUCUUUUUGAGAUAAAUCAUUCAAGUUUCUGCCCUAUCAGCUUUCGAUGGUAGUGUAUUGGACUACCAUGGCAGUAACGGGUAACGAAGAAUUAGGGUUCGAUUUCGGAGAGGGAGCAUGAGAAACGGCUACCACAUCUAAGGAAGGCAGCAGGCGCGUAAAUUACCCAAUCCUGACUCAGGGAGGUAGUGACAAGAAAUAGCAAACCGGGAACCUUAUGGUUUCACGGUAUUGCAAUGAGAACAAUUUAAAACCCUUAGCGAGAAUCAAGUGGAGGACAAGUCUGGUGCCAGCACCCGCGGUAAUUCCAGCUCCACUAGCGUAUAUUAAAGUUGUUGCAGUUAAGAAGCUCGUAGUUGAACCUCUGUCUGGGGCUAGUUUUGGCUUUGGUCAGGCUAGUUCUAGGCAUCCGCCUACAAGACUUAGAGGGCAUUCAGUUGUUCACUAGGAGGAGUAGGCAUUUUACUUUGAAAAAAUUAGAGUGUUUAAGGCAGGCAAUCGCCCGCAUAUAUUAGCAUGGAAUAAUAGAAUAGGACACUUUUCCAUUUCGUUGGUUAUUGGAAUCGUGUAAUGAUUAAUAGGGACAGUUGUGGGCAUUUGUAUUUAAUUGUCAGAGGUGAAAUUCUUGGAUUUAUUAAAGACAAACUAACGCGAAAGCAUUUGCCAAGGAUGUUUUCAUUAAUCAAGAACGAAAGUUAGGGGAUCAAAGACGAUCAGAUACCGUCCUAGUCUUAACUAUAAACUAUUCCGACUCAAUGUUUGACUGGCUUAUAUAACCAGUUGAGCGUUGUAUGAGAAAUCAAAGUCUUUAGGUUCUGGGGGGAGUAUGGUUGCAAAGCUGAAACUUAAAGGAAUUGACGGAAGAGCACAACCAGGAGUGGAUUCUGCGGCUUAAUUUGACUCAACACGGGGAAACUUACCAGGUUAAAACAAUAGUGGGAUUGACAGUUUGAGAGCGCUUUCUUGAUUGGUUGGGUGGUGGUGCAUGGCCGUUCUUAGUUGGUGGAGUGAUUUGUCUGCUUAAUUGCGUUAACGAACGAGACCUUAACCUGCUUACUAGACUGCGACC